Molecule: ribosomal RNA, 197 nt
Filed under: uncultured bacterium
Lineage: Bacteria
Description: partial 16S ribosomal RNA
Rfam family: Bacterial small subunit ribosomal RNA
Source: RNAcentral
GACUGGAGUCUGCAACCCGACUCCACGAAGCUGGAUUCGCUAGUAAUCGCGCAUCAGCCACGGCGCGGUGAAUACGUUCCCGGGCCUUGUACACACCGCCCGUCAAGCCAUGGGAGCCGGGGGUACCUGAAGUGCGUAACCGCGAGGAUCGCCCUAGGGUAAAACUGGUGACUGGGGCUAAGUCGUAACAAGGUAAC